ACUCGGUCCUCCUACGGGAGGCAGCAGUGGGGAAUAUUGCACAAUGGGCGCAAGCCUGAUGCAGCCAUGCCGCGUGUGUGAAGAAGGCCUUCGGGUUGUAAAGCACUUUCAGUCGUGAGGAAGGUAGUGUAGUUAAUAGCUGCAUUAUUUGACGUUAGCGACAGAAGAAGCACCGGCUAACUCCGUGCCAGCAGCCGCGGUAAUACGGAGGGUGCGAGCGUUAAUCGGAAUUACUGGGCGUAAAGCGCAUGCAGGUGGUUUGUUAAGUCAGAUGUGAAAGCCCGGGGCUCAACCUCGGAAUUGCAUUUGAAACUGGCAAACUAGAGUACUGUAGAGGGGGGUAGAAUUUCAGGUGUAGCGGUGAAAUGCGUAGAGAUCUGAAGGAAUACCGGUGGCGAAGGCGGCCCCCUGGACAGAUACUGACACUCAGAUGCGAAAGCGUGGGGAGCAAACAGGAUUAGAUACCCUGGUAG
RNAcentral lists this ribosomal RNA (473 nucleotides) under uncultured bacterium. Its description in RNAcentral is "bacterial SSU rRNA". It matches the Rfam family "Bacterial small subunit ribosomal RNA", at positions 328 to 793 of the family's 1533-position model. The record is from RNAcentral.